This 774-nucleotide ribosomal RNA is filed under the name uncultured Neocallimastigales. RNAcentral describes it as "partial large subunit ribosomal RNA". It matches the Rfam family "Eukaryotic large subunit ribosomal RNA", at positions 24 to 644 of the family's 3401-position model. Lineage: Eukaryota; Fungi; Neocallimastigomycota; Neocallimastigomycetes; Neocallimastigales. The record is from RNAcentral.
UAUCUCUGUAGAGUCUGCAUAUCAAUAAGCGGAGGAAAAGAAACUAACAAGGAUUCCCUUAGUAACGGCGAGUGAAGCGGGAAGAGCUCAAAUUUGAAAUCUUCAAGGUUCUACCUUGACGAAUUGUAGUUUAAAGAAGUGUUUUCUGUUAGAUGAGUAGCAAAAGUUCCUUGGAAUGGGACAUCAUAGAGGGUGAGAAUCCCGUAUUUGGUUAUUCAUUCUAGCUUUGUGAUACACUUUCAAAGAGUCGGAUUGUUUGGGAAUGCAGUCCAAAAUGGGCGGUAAAUUUCAUCUAAAGCUAAAUAUUGGCGAGAGACCGAUAGCGAACAAGUACCGUGAGGGAAAGAUGAAAAGAACUUUGAAAAGAGAGUUAAACAGUACGUGAAAUUGUCAAAAGGGAAGCGUUUGACACCAGUGUUGUUUUUCCGAAAAUCAAUUACGAAUGGCUUGAUUUUGUGUUGUAUUGACCUUAUCAGCUUUCUGCACUUUUUUCGAGUCUUUCUUAAUGCACUUUUCGGUUAACAAGUCAACAUCAAUUUCUUUUGUUGUAAAAGAGUAUUCGGAAGGUGGCUUUCUUUUCGGAGAAAGUGUUUAUAGCCCUAUACUCCUACAAUCGGAGAGAUUGAGGUCUGCAGCGUAGAUCCUUCGGGGUUAGAUACACUUGUGCUAAGUUGUAGCUUUUCAUAGACAACUUGUUGACUAUGUUUAGUCAUGCGGCUUACUCGCUUGUGCUAUUUUACCUACGCUUAGGAUGUUGACUGAUAUGUAGUCGUA